Molecule: long non-coding RNA, 3141 nt
Organism: Homo sapiens (human)
Lineage: Eukaryota; Metazoa; Chordata; Mammalia; Primates; Hominidae
Source: Ensembl
GCGGAGGAGCCCGCGCCCGCCGGGAUGCCCAGCCCCGCGCCGCGCUGACCCACCGAGCCCUCGCUCAGACGCCCCAGCUCCGCCGAGAGGCCGCUCGCGCCGGGUCCUUCCUCUUCCCCAGGUGCAGGCAGAGCCCCCGGAGUCAUGGCCAGCCCUUCCGGCAGCUCCGAAGCCACUGGCAAGCCCCGAGGCAGGGAUGGCCGGCCCAGGAGGGAAGAGGACGACGUCCCUCCCGAAGAGAAGAGGCUGCGGCUGUUGCUGGAGGGGGGAAGCGCAGAACCUGAGGACUGCGAGGACGGGGAGGACGUGCCGCGGCCAGGCAGGGAGGAGACCGGGACCCAGACAGGUGGCGACGGCAGAGGAGCGCAGUGGCUCACACCUGUAAUCCCAGCUACUUGGGAGGCUGAGGCAGGAGAAUCGUUUGCACCUGGGAGACAGAGGUUGCAGUCAGCCGAGAUCGCACCACUGUACUUCAGCCAGCCUGGGUGACAGAGCGAGACUCUGUUUCAAAAAUAAAUAAAUAAAUAAAAUAGAAUUCUGAAUUUUAUUUUUAAUAAUUAUUUUAGUAAAGAGAAUGUCUUGUUUUUUGGAGUUGUUGAAUUUAUUGAAUUGGCAAAAAUUAUGUAUAAGAGGUUAUACAAAAUGACGUGAUUGAAGUAUGUAUACAUUACAGAAAUGGCUAAAUCAAGUUAAAUAACACUUCACAAUUCAAGAUUCCCUCAUUUAUAUAAUACUUCAUGAUUCAAGAUUCCCUUAUUUUUAUAAUUAUAAAUAAUUAUGCCUUUCCUCCAUGAAUGUUAGUGGGAUUUUUAUAUUUUUAUUGAGAUACAAUUUACCAUAAAAUUCAUUGCCUUAAAGUGUUCUAUUCAGUGGUUAUCAGUGUAUUCUUAAAAUUGUGCACCCCUCACCAUUAUCUAAUUCCAGAAUAUGUUUAUAAUCGCAAGAAGAAAUCUCUCCUCCUCCCAGUCCUUAGCAACCACUGAUCUAAUUUUUGUGUCUAUGUAUAUUCGUAUUCUGGACAUUUACUAUGGAGAGAAUAAUAAUUAUGUGAUCCUUCAUGUCUGCCUUCUUUCAUUUAGCAUAAUGUUUUCAAGAUUCAUCCAUGUUGUGGCAUAGAUUCGUACUUCAUUCCUUCAUUCAGUGGUCAUCAGUAUAUCCCACUUUAAGAAUCCACUGAUAGUCACUAAAUGGAACACUCUAAAGGAAUGAAUUUUAUAGUAAAUUCUAUCUCAAUAAAAAUAUAAAACACCAACAUUCAUGGAGGAAAGGUGUAAUUCUGUAUAAUUAUAUAAAUGAUGGAAUCUUGAAAUACAUUUUAAAACGUGCUCUGAGGUAAUAUGCGCCUCAGAAACGAUAAAUAAGUCAAUUGAUAAUCUAAAUCUCAGGUAUAAACCACAGUUUAAUAUGUAUUUAUUAUAAAGUAUUGGUGGAUUUUAAAAUUAAUUUGGGAAAGUUAGAUUGAUUAUUGGUGUUGGUAAAAAAAAAUUUCAUCGUAUGGAUUAUUUACCAUAUGGUUGUUUAUAACAGACUUUAAUGAUCCAUUGUGUUUCUUUUAUAUCAGUUGUAAUGUCUCCUGUUUUAUUUCUGAUUUUAUUUAUUUGGCAUUCUCUCUUUUGUUCUUGGUUAGUCUAGCUAGCAGUUUAUAAAGUCUGUUUAUCUCUUCCAAAAGUCAACUUUUUGUUUCAUUAAUUCUUUGCAUUUUUUAAAUCUCGAAUUCGCUGAGUUCUGCUCUGAUUUUUAUUAUUUCUUUCCUUCUCCUUAGUUUGGAUUUCAUUUUUUCUUGAUUUUCUUGUUCCUUGAGGUGCAUAGUAGCUUGUUCAUAAUCUUACUAUGUUCUUGCAGUAGGCAUUUAUUGCUAUAAAAUUCUCUAUUAGCACUGUCUUUGUUGUAUUCCAUAGGUUUUGGUAUGUUGUGUUUCCGUUUGCAUUUAUUUCAAGAACAUUUGUUAUUUUCUUCUUAAUUUUCUCAUUGACUCAAUGGUUGUUCAGAAGCAUGUUGUUUAAUUUCCAUGUUAUCUGUAUAGUUUCCAAAGUUCCUCCUAGUAUUCAUUUCUAGUUCUAUUCUAUUUUUGUCUAGAAUAUACUUGAUAUAAUGUUGAUUUUUCAAAAUUUGUUGAAACUUGUUUUGUGUCUUAACAUAUGGUCUAGCCUGGAGAAUGUUCUAUCUGAUGAGGAGAAGAAUGUGUACUCCACUGCUAUUGGAUGAAAUGUUCUGUAAAUGUCUGUUAAGUCUAUUUGGUCUGCGGUACAGAUUAAAUUCGAUGAUUAUUUGUUAGCUUUCUACCUAGAAUGCUGAAUGUUCAAUGCUGAAAGUGGGGUAUUGAAGCCCUCAGUUAUCAUGAUGUUGAGGUGUAUCUCUCUCUUUACCUCUAAUGACAUUUUUAAUAUAUCUAAGUAUUCCACUACUGGGUACAUAUAUAUACAUAUUUGGAAUUUUUAUAUCCUCUUGCUGAAUUGGCCCUUUUAUCAUUAUAUGAUGGCCUUCUUUGUCUCUUUUUAUGUUUUUUUGCUUAAAGUCAAUUUUGUCCAAUAUAAAUAUAGAUGUAUUAGGCCAUUCUUGCAUUGCUAUAGGGUUAUCAUAAGAAAGUACCACAGAAUGGGUGCCUUAAAUAACAAAAGUUCAUUUUCUCACAGUUGUGGAUGUUAUAAGUCUAAGAUCAAGAUGUCAGCACAUUUGGUUUCUCCUGAGGCCUGUCUUGGCUUGCAGCUGGUUGCCUUCUUGCUAUGUCCUCUUAUGGCAUUUUUUCUGUGCACAUGCAUUCCUGGUGUCUCUUCCUCUUCUAAUAAGGACAUCAGCCAUAUUGCACGAGGGCCAUACCCUGGGAGUCUCAUUUUAGCUUUAUCACUCCUUAAAAAAAAAAACAAACUUAUCUUCAAAUAUGAUUACAUUCUGAGAUACUAAAGAUUGGGACUUCAACAUACAAAUUUUGGAGGAACACUGCUUAGCCCAUAACGAUGAAUUCAUCAAUAGACUGAUAUGAUCAAGGAAAGAAUCGGUGAGCUUAAAGAAGUUUAAAUAGCAACUUCCAAAACUUAAAAGCAAAGAAAAAAGAAGUAAAAGAACAGAAUAUUUAAUAAGUGUAGGCCAAUUGCAAAAGGAACAAUAUAUGUGUAAUGAAGUAUCAGGAGGAGGAGAAAGAAA